Molecule: long non-coding RNA, 1184 nt
Filed under: Podarcis muralis (Common wall lizard)
Lineage: Eukaryota; Metazoa; Chordata; Lepidosauria; Squamata; Lacertidae
Description: lncRNA (ENSPMRG00000005954.1)
Source: RNAcentral
CUGUGAUUGAGCAAUUUACAGAAAACGAGGGGUGGGAAUGAUAUUUAUACAAUGUAAGUGAUAUUCUUUUUCAAAGACAAGAACAGGAUCCAACUGCUUAUCACUUAAAUCCCACUUAAGGGCUAUAUGAAAUCCACAUAGUGGCUGAGCAAUUGUAGCGUUAUAGGUCCGUCCGUCCCCCGCGCGCUUUAAAGCAUCAGCUCAACUGUUAGGGGAGUAUAGGGAAAGUACCAUUGAAAUGGCUUAGCUGGGCAAUGUGGACAGUUAUAGAAAAUACCCUUGUAAGAGUUGUGAGGGAUGCUUAACCAACAGGGUCUAUUUCAGCUCAAUCAAAGAUUAAAAUCUGUGACAGGGAGGAAAUUGAGGAACUGGGUUCCAUUCCCAUUUCAAAGUCAUUCUUUGAAAUCACACUUCCACAAAUUUUACAGUGCCAUUCUCCAGCCUAAAAUGCACACUUUAUGGUAAAGUGUGUAGUGGGAGGCCCCAUUAGCUAAAGUGGCACCUCAGGUUAAGAACAGUUUCAGGUUAAGAACAGACCUCCAGAACGAAUUAAGUUCUUAACCUGAGGUACCACUGUAAGGCGAAAUUGUUGUGGAAGAGAAUGUAUUGUAGGCAACAUCAGGUAACGUUGUUUUCUCCUUCUCUCACAAUAGCUGAACUUGGAAUCAUGCAAUCAAGCAGGAUGUUGGAAGUUUCUGCCUGUGUUGUGUUAUUCCUGUAUUGCAAGGGGUUGGACUAGAGGACCCUCAGGGUCCCAUUCAACUCUACAAUUCUGUAACAGCAGAAUCGGAACCCAAGCAAACACUCUGUGAGGGCCCCACCCCCUGGUUGCCUGCAAUUCUAUAGCCUCUGAAAUGCACCACUAAAAUUAGGAGGUGAAAGGAAGCAUGAUUGUUCUCAAGGAUCACAGAGCACAUGCAUGGAGAACAAACAGCCACUGUGCACCCAGAGUUCCACUACAGCCCUUACAGGGAAAGAGCCAACUAUUCAACAGCUAUGAGACCUACCCCAUGCCCAGUUCCUUGCAGAUCAUGAGGAAGGCCCACAACCAUGAGCCCUGGAGGUUUGCCAGCCUAUUUGCUCCACACAGGUUCCUCCUUGCUCCUGACCGGCAAAAGACUCUUUCUUUGACACAGUACAUCUUCAACACUUGUCCCAAGGAGUCCUGUGUGUCCUCUCUGUAG